GCCAAGAUGUGCCCAAGAUGUGUGUGUCUUGCACGCUUAGGAAUCAGCCAAGAGGAAGCUUUGAGGGGGCACAGCCAGACUGUGGGGGCGUCUUCCUCCACACCCCACUGGAUCCGGGGCACGGACACUCUAGGGCCAGAACCAGGCCCUGGCUUGGAGCUCGCUUCCUUAACCACAGUCUAGCUCCUUCCGCCAUCUUCCACGUCUCCAGAACUGGCGGUUCCGUCCCCCCCACUGCUCAGCCAGAACUUUUCUCCCAGAUGCAAUCCAUUAACAAGACCCGCUCCUGCCCCUGUGACAGCAUCUAGAAUCCUGCCAGCUCCAGGGGCCCCAUCUGGACAAGGCCAGCCUUGACCUCCCUCUUUCUGCCCCCAACAGUCUAUUUCCCUCACAGCCGCCAGAGGGUACCUGUGGACACCCAAGUGCGGUCCCUCCUGCCUCCGUUGGAGACUUCCAUGGCUCCCACCUCGGUCACAGCAAAAGCCAGAGUUGUCCCCCCCAGGAGGCCCUGCUCUCUGCCCUGCGCCCUCACAUUCUCCACUGCCGUCUUUCCCCCGCUGCUCCGCAGGCCAGGCCUCCACUCCACCCAGACAGUCCAGCUCAGGACCUUCGCACAGGCUGUUCCUGCCACAUCCCUCUUCACCUCCUCCAUGUCUCCACCAUCACCUCCUCCAUGUCUCCACCAUCACCUCCUCAGUCAGAGCGUCUCUGAAACUCCUCCUCCUUGCUCUCUCCUGCUCUCUCCUCCUGCAGCCCUGUCGCCUUUGAACACAGUUUCUCCUCCACGCAGGAACAGGCGCCUGAGCAGGACCUUGGUGACGUCUGUUGAAUGGAUGUCUUGGUAAUUGCCAUGUCCCCAGUGAGUCAGGGAGCAGAAGAGACACAAGACCUGCCACACAGCUACAGCAGCACACUGUCGAGUUUCCAGGGCUGAGAACUGGAAGCACCCAGCAGAAGAGGGAAGCCGGGGAGAGCUGGGCACAGCUGCGUGGGCCUGAGCAGGAGGCUGAGGCGGGAGGAUCGCUUGCCCAGAAGUCCCAAGCAAACCUGGGCAGCGCAAUGAGACCCAGUCUCUCUCUCUCUCUCUCUCUUUCCCUAAAUUUUUUAGACGUCUAUGGACCUUUCUUUAUUUAUUCAUUUGUUUUUCUGUGGUGCUCAGAAUCGAGCCCAGGGCCUCACACGUGCUAGGCGAGCACUUACCACGGAGCCAACCAACAAGCCAGAAAGGCCCCGGGCUCCGCCCGCAGGGAGGGGGUCCUACCGCAGUGUCCUGCUGGGACCCUGGAGGUUCCGUAAAAUCACAUGGUGGCAGAACUUCUCCCGACUCAAGUGUGGCAGAGUCCUCGAAGGUUCUGGGCAUGUGCAUGGGGGAUACGGGUAGCAGGAGGGAAAAGAGAAUGUGGCUGUCCAGGGGAGAGGACUUUGGCCUGGAUUAGAGCCAGCGCCAGGGCCAGGUGGGAAAGGACAGCUCAGGACUGGAGUCCCCAGCAUGGCAGCAAGAACAAAAGCCAGACCUGGGGGGACAGCUUGGAAAGUGUCUCACAAUAGGACUGAGAAGAAGAGGACUCAGAGGAAUGCAGUGUCCCUAGGCCAAGGAGGAAGUGUGUAAAGGUGACAGCUGUUACAAUGAAGUCCAGGACAGUGACAACCGAAAAGUCGACUGAUUUGGCAGUUGGCGUCCUGGUGUGAUCCUGGGCCACCUCAGGAGUGAACAGGAGAGAAGCAACAAUCAUGGCACCCAGGACAUGGGGAGCCACACACGGGCCAUUGGAAGUCACAGGUUUUUCCUCAGGGCUGAGGACUGAACUGGGGUGCUCUACCAGGGAGCCUCACCCGGCCCUUUUCAUUUUAUUUUUAAGACAGGGGGGUCUCUUGCCAAGGCUGACCUCAAACUUUUUGAUCCUCCUGCCUCAGCCUCCCGAGUUGCAGGUGUGUGCCAAGGUGCUUGGCUUAAUUUGCAGAAUUUUUAGCAAAUACAUUAAGAAGAAAAAAAAAAAAGACACAAGUAAAAAUCUUUUGAAGAAAAUUUUUUUGGUACCAGGGAUUGAACCCAGGGACACUUCACCACUGAGCCAUAUCCCCAGCCCUUUUUAAUAUUUUAUUUAAAGACAGGGUCUUGCUGAGUUGCUUAGGGCCUCCCUAAAUUGCUGAGGCUGGCCUUGAACUUGCCAUCCUCCUGCCUCAGCCUCUCAAGCUUCUGGGAUUACAAACAGCGCCUGGCUGCCAGCUGAACAUCCUCGUAGUACAAUUCAUUUAACCCAAUAUAUCCAAAACAGCAUAGCUUCAACACGUAAUCAAGAUAAAAAUUAUUAACUGAGCUGUCUCAUAGUUCAUUUUUUUUGGUGCUAUCUUCAAAACUGGUGUGAUUUUUAUUCUUGCAACACAUCUCAGUUUAGAUGAGCAGUGUUUCAGCUGCUCAGUCACCACACGUGACCAGGGACAACCUCACUGGAAAGUGCAGAUCUUCAACAUGACCCCAUCCUGUCCUUGAAUGACACACCUCUCUUCUUCCUAAUCCCAGCUCUAUCCAGGACUGAGCCACGUCCCCAGCCUUUUUUUUUUUUUCCUUUCCAAUUUUGAGGCAGAGUGUCACUAAAUUGCUCAGAGCCUCACUAAAGUUGCUGAGGCUGGCCUGGAAUUCGAGAUCCUCCUGCCUCAGCCUCCCAAGCUGCUGGGAUUACAGGCAAGCACCCCUAUGCCUAGCUCAUUGUGAAUUUUUGCAUUCAUUUCAGUUUGUAAAAAUAAUGCACUAAGACAUUAUUUCAUCUUCUUCAUAGAAACUCGUACGCCAGUGCUCAUGGCAGUAGUUUCCCUCAGUCCUCAGUCGGCAACUCCACCACGGGUCGGUAACACAGUGGGGCCUAUCCAUCUCGUGUGUUGGUCCCCAGUAAAGGAAAAGGGAAAGAAGCCAGUCCCAAGCCGCAUGGUAUGACUCCAUUUAUACACGGAGACAGACGAGUCCCUGCACUGAGAGAGAAACAGGCUUGGGGCUUCUUUUUGGGGAGAUGGAAUGUUCUAGAAUGGAUUGUGGGCCAGGUGGUGAUCCCUGGAACCCCAUCUACUCCAGAGCCCAGGAGUUUGAGACCAACCUGGCCCAUCCAGAGACCCUGUGUGUCAAAAAAAUGAAUGAAAUAAGUGGUGAUGGCUGUUCAAGGCCAUGGGCAUUUUUUAAAUAUUCAAUUAUAUUUAAUAAGUCAACUGCACGACGUGGGGAUUGUAUCUCAAUAAACCUUUUAUUUAAAAAUAUUUAACCCUCAUGGCCAAGCGUUCGUUUUGUUUUGGGGCCCUGUGGCCUCCCUGUCCUGGCACUGCUGUCCCUCCCACACCUGAGAUGGGGGAAGGUCUCAGGGUAGAGGAGGCGGGGAAGCUGGCCAGGGGGGUCUAGGAGAUGCCCUCCGCACCCCUUUUCCUGCAGUUUCCCAGAAUUGGAAGAGGAUGCGUCUUGCCGUGGUUUCUCCAGGGCUGAUCCAAGCGCCUGGCCCGCGUGUGUCCUUUCAGACAGCCUGACUCAGUUUGCCCACCGUGCGCAUGGGCCCUGUGCGCGUGACCCUCCACUGUCCCCUGAGUGAGUCACGCAGCCUGGAAGCCCCCUCCCUGGGGACGCAGGGCUGGCCAUUGAUGGUGACUUUUCAUAGACGUGGCGGAAGCAGGCUGGCGCCUCCCAGGCCCACGCCAGGCUCCUAGGGGCAGCCCAGGAGGGCCUCCCCGCACAGCCCACCCCAGCGAGGGCCAGGGGGCUGGGCCUGGGGGGUGGGGAGCUGUUCUCAAAGAGCCUUUGUAGGAGCGGCUGGGGGGGCUGUGGGGGACCCCGCCCUGAGUGACUCACCCUCAUUGCUGGGCGGUGACUCAUGCCCAGCCCCCACCCGCCCGCCCAGCAGCAGGUGCUGCCAGCUCCAGCCUCCGGUCGGGGCCUCAGCAGCCGCUCAUGCCACCCUAACCUGGGCCUGGGACCCGCACCCACUUCGGGGUGCCCCCCUUACCCUGGCCGUCUUGCCCUCUUGGGUAUGGACAGCGGAGGAAACCUCUUGCACCCUGUCCCUUGGGGCGGCCGACGUGGGUACUGGGGUGUGCCAGCCCCCCUGCACCCACCGAGCCCCAGGGUGCUCUAACUAGUCCCUUAGCCGACGGCUUCGUGAGAUCGCGGGCGAAGCGCCAAGACAGGUGAUCCACAGGGGCACCAUCAGGUGGCGAUCCCAGCCGCCUCGUGGAGGCACCAGUAAGGGGCACCGCCUGCUGCCAGGAUGCCUCCAUUUUACUGAUGGGCAAACUGAGGCUCCAGCCCUUGGUCCGCCGACCUCGAGAGGCUGAGCGUGACUCGAACCCAGAGCCCGGGCCUGCUCGCCGCCUCCCCCCGGCCCUGGCUACCGCUCGAGGUCCGGGCGCCCCCGCCGCCGGGCCCCUCCUGCCGCCACCGAGGCCGGCCCGGGCU
RNAcentral lists this long non-coding RNA (4429 nucleotides) under Marmota monax (woodchuck). The record is from RNAcentral. Lineage: Eukaryota; Metazoa; Chordata; Mammalia; Rodentia; Sciuridae.